This 253-nucleotide ribosomal RNA is filed under the name uncultured bacterium. Its description in RNAcentral is "partial 16S ribosomal RNA". It matches the Rfam family "Bacterial small subunit ribosomal RNA", at positions 524 to 776 of the family's 1533-position model. The record is from RNAcentral.
UACGGGGGGGGCAAGCGUUGUUCGGAAUUACUGGGCGUAAAGCGCGCGUAGGCGGCUUUUCAAGUCAGACGUGAAAUCCUUAGGCUUAACCUGAGAACUGCGUUUGAUACUGUUGAGCUAGAGUGUGGAAGGGGCUACUAGAAUUCCGUGUGUAGCGGUGAAAUGCGUAGAUAUCUGGAGGAACACCGGUGGCGAAGGCGGCAUCCUGGACCAACACUGACACUGAGGAGCGAAAGCCAGGGGAGCAAACGGG